AUACCCUGGUAGUCCACGCCGUAAACGAUGAGUGCUAAGUGUUGGGGGGUUUCCGGUCCCCUCCAGUGCUGCAGCUAACGCAUUAAGCACUCCGCCUGGGGAGGUACGACCGCAAGGUUGAAACUCAAAGGAAUUGACGGGGACCCGGCACAAGCGGUGGAGCAUGUGGUUUAAUUCGAAACAACGCGAAGAACCUUACCAGGUCUUGACAUCCCGCUGACCGCUUAGGAGACUAAGCUUUCCCUUCGGGGACAGCGGUGACAGGUGAUGCAUGGUUGUCGUCAGCUCGUGUCGU
RNAcentral lists this ribosomal RNA (295 nucleotides) under uncultured Planococcus sp. RNAcentral describes it as "partial 16S ribosomal RNA". It matches the Rfam family "Bacterial small subunit ribosomal RNA", at positions 782 to 1068 of the family's 1533-position model. Lineage: Bacteria; Bacillati; Bacillota; Bacilli; Caryophanales; Caryophanaceae. The record is from RNAcentral.